Molecule: ribosomal RNA, 432 nt
Filed under: uncultured bacterium
Lineage: Bacteria
Description: partial 16S ribosomal RNA
Rfam family: Bacterial small subunit ribosomal RNA
Source: RNAcentral
ACGCACGCUGGCGGCAGGCCUAACACAUGCCAGUCGCGCGGACCUUUCGGGGUCAGCGGCGGACGGGUGAGUAACGCGUGGGAAUAUGCCCUUCUCUACGGAAUAGUCCUGGGAAACUGGGGGUAAUACCGUAUACGCCCUUUGGGGGAAAGAUUUAUCGGGGAAGGAUUAGCCCGCGUUGGAUUAGGUAGUUGGUGGGGUAAUGGCCUACCAAGCCGACGAUCCAUAGCUGGUUUGAGAGGAUGAUCAGCCACACUGGGACUGAGACACGGCCCAGACUCCUACGGGAGGCAGCAGUGGGGAAUCUUAGACAAUGGGGGCAACCCUGAUCUAGCCAUGCCGCGUGAGUGAUGAAGGCCUUAGGGUUGUAAAGCUCUUUCAGCUGGGAAGAUAAUGACGGUACCAGCAGAAGAAGCCCCGGCUAACUCCGUG